This 480-nucleotide ribosomal RNA is filed under the name uncultured bacterium. RNAcentral's name for it is "partial 16S ribosomal RNA". It matches the Rfam family "Bacterial small subunit ribosomal RNA", at positions 28 to 523 of the family's 1533-position model. The record is from RNAcentral.
GACGAACGCUGGCGGCGUGCCUAACACAUGCAAGUCGAGCGAAUAAAGUUCCUUCGGGAACGGAUUUAGCGGCGGACGGGUGAGUAACACGUGGGCAACCUGCCUCAUAGAGGGGAAUAGCCUUCCGAAAGGGAGAUUAAUACCGCAUAAGAUUGUAGUAUCGCAUGGUACAGCAAUUAAAGGAGCAAUCCGCUAUGAGAUGGGCCCGCGGCGCAUUAGCUAGUUGGUGAGGUAACGGCUCACCAAGGCGACGAUGCGUAGCCGACCUGAGAGGGUGAUCGGCCACAUUGGGACUGAGGCACGGCCCAGACUCCUACGGGAGGCAGCAGUGGGGAAUAUUGCACAAUGGGGGAAACCCUGAUGCAGCAACGCCGCGUGAGUGAUGACGGCCUUCGGGUUGUAAAGCUCUGUCUUCAGGGACGAUAAUGACGGUACCUGAGGAGGAAGCCACGGCUAACUACGUGCCAGCCGCCGCGGUAA